GUCACCAUGGCGGAAGCGCAGCCAAGAGGCUGCAGCAGACUGUUCAGCCCCACUACAAGCCUGAAUAAAAGAAGAAAUUAGAAAAGGACGACACGGCUUCUGUUAGUUCGCCAUGCACAAGUAUUAUAAACAUCUAGCGACUUCAGAUGCGAGAGUAAUGCUGCUGAUGUAGGCGGUGACUGGCUUUCUAGGGCAGAGCGGCUGAAGUCCAGCUCAAGUGUUGACAGACUGAGAGAGUUCAUUCAGUGAUUGCAUGAUUUAUAGACACAGCUUAGUGACUCCAGACGGAAAGGCGCAAACAGUGUAUACUUUGCGUAUCUUUUGCUAUUACAGACUGGUGGUAUCGAAGUUCUUUUUUUAACAAAUGUAAAAUCGCUUUAUAAACGUGAAAUGUGACGUUUUGAACGGGAAAAGUAAUGUUUGUAGAGUAAAAGUCGUCUCUGGUUCUUGUUUACGAUGCAAUUCAAGAGGACCUGACACAGCUCGGGCUGAGUAUUCGUUUGGAAAACACUUUAGUAAAACAUUGCCCGUUUCGUUAGGCUCUGAAAUGUCUUCUAAAUGGGUGUUUUAUACAGCAUCAGCGCGAUAUAGUGGACAAACUGGCCGGUUAAAGUACUGACGUGUCCUUUGGCGCGCGGUCAGUGCCGAAGCUGGAGGGACACGCCUUUCGCCGUUGCUCCCAGCAUCUUUAACCGGGAGUCAGCCGUCAACGCCGCGACAAAAUGUCAAGAGCCGGCCGAAGAGCCAAAGCUUUGCACGUGAAUAACGGGCACGCGCUGGCAGGAUGCGGUCCGCUGAGAGCGGCGUUUGCGCGCGUGCUGCUGCUGUGUCUCUGCGGCGCGCUGUCGCUGGCUUUGAUCCUGGCGCUGUAUCUGUCUGCAGAGCCCUCCAGCAGCCUACAGCAGCAUGCUGCACAUCUCAUCAGGGACAGGAAUGCCCAUAAGCCAAAUAAAUACUCUGUGGCACAAAUAAAGAAGUUUGCAGCACAGGUGGACGGGCAUCGGCUCUGGGAGACUCACCUGCGGCCCCUGCUAAAUGUACGAGUGCCCGGGACUGCAGGCAGUCAGACCAUACGGCAGCAUAUCUUGUCCCAGCUGGGUUCACUGUCAGCAGGAUGGACACUGGAGGAGAAUUCUUUCGUUUCAUCCACCCCGAAGGGUAAAGUGACCUUCACCAAUGUGCUAGCAGUUCUGGACCCCUCGACUCCUCGCAGGCUGCUCCUAGCAUGCCACCAUGACUCCAAGAUCUUACCCGCAGACCCUAAAAACCCCAAGCGGGUGUUUGUGGGUGCCAGUGAUUCAGCCAUACCCUGUGCUAUGAUCUUGGAGCUGGCCACUGCUCUGGACACACGGCUUAAAGCUCUAAAACUGCAGAGGUCUGCGGUGACAUUGCAGUUGGUGUUUUUUGAUGGAGAGGAGGCAUUUGAGGAAUGGACAGAAACAGACUCUCUCUACGGUUCUCGUCAUCUGGCUGAACUUAUGGCCCGUACUCCCCACCCUUCUGGAUCCACCAAAACCACUCUUCUCCAGGCAGUGGAUCUGUUAGUCCUGCUGGACCUGCUUGGUGGCCCAGAACCAUUGAUUGUCAAUCACUUUGAUAACACAGCCAGAUGGUUUGACCGACUGAUCGCUGCAGAGAAGAGACUCCACAAACAGGGUUUGUUGACAUCUCACCCAUCAGAACAGAGUUACUUCAGGAAAGAUUUUUAUCUUGGUCCCGUGCAGGAUGAUCACAUUCCAUUUUUAAACAGAGGUGUACCUGUGCUUCACUUGAUCCCCACACCGUUUCCUGUGUUCUGGCACACACUGGAUGAUGCAGAGGAGAGGAUGCACAGGCCCACGGUGGAAAACCUAACUAGAAUCCUGGCCAUCUUCGUGGCUGAGUAUCUGAGCCUAUAAACAUGCUAUAAUGAUCAUCCUACAGCAGACUGUAAUAGUAGUAAUAAUAAUAACAGAGCCAUAGAUCAGAAUGACCAAAGAGACACAUAGCAUAAUGAUGUGUUUAUUUGGAGUGUGAAUGGUACAUGCUGAAGAUAUCCAUAUAUUUUUCUGCUGAAAAGAGCCAUAUGUCAUAAUAGGACAAACACUCAUGUUACGGCAGCUAUAUAUGAGCCCUAAUUUCAUCCUUUAAGAGACUGUUAGACCAUAAGUUUGUGAUUUCAUAUCAUUCAUUUGAUAUGGCUUUGAAGUGGAACUCAGAGUGAAGUUCGUUUAAUGACUUUUCAUUUAGCUCAUUAAUCAUCAUUUGUACAGUAUUUGCUGAUGAACUGCAUUUGAAAUGCUGUUCAUUCAAGCUGUGUUGGGGAAAGGCAGUGGUGGUGCACUUUACAAGUCACUGAGCUGUUACCAUUAUGAGCCAAAAGACCAUGUCAAGGGUCUAAUGGAUAUUCGUAAUAAACUUAAGGAGAUACUGGAUUUCAGUUUUUUUUUUUUUCUAUUUUUGUUGAAAUUUAGAAUACACUAAGAUUGACACUGUUGCAUUAAAGCCAAUUAAAAUCUGCUGCUGUAUUGAUAUGCUAUCUUUUGGGUCACAAAAAGAGCUUUUUUUUAAAGCCAAGAUGAAACUAAAGUAGCGGCACAUCUUUUUGCUGCAUUGUGAUGCAUAUCUGAGUGAAACGGAUUACUGAAAAAGAGGACAAAAUGAUUGGAAGAGUUCGGCAUACAUCACCAGAAG
RNA transcript from Sinocyclocheilus rhinocerous, 2673 nucleotides. It is a transcript of the gene named glutaminyl-peptide cyclotransferase-like, with no coding region annotated. Lineage: Eukaryota; Metazoa; Chordata; Actinopteri; Cypriniformes; Cyprinidae. The record is from RefSeq and is a predicted model, not a curated record. The transcript has 8 exons.